RNAcentral lists this ribosomal RNA (573 nucleotides) under Cabeza sp. D1476. RNAcentral describes it as "eukaryotic LSU rRNA". It matches the Rfam family "Eukaryotic large subunit ribosomal RNA", at positions 644 to 1162 of the family's 3401-position model. Lineage: Eukaryota; Metazoa; Arthropoda; Insecta; Hymenoptera; Eulophidae. The record is from RNAcentral.
AGGACCCGUCUUGAAACACGGACCAAGGAGUCUAACAUGUGCGCGAGUCAUUGGGACUUGUAAAAGCCUAAAGGCGCAAUGAAAGUGAAGGUCGUCCUUAGCGUCGACCGAGGGAGGAUGGCUCGCGUCACGAUGCGAGCCCGCACUCCCGGGGCGUCUCGUGCUCAUUACGAGCAGAGGCGCACCCAGAGCGUACACGUUGGGACCCGAAAGAUGGUGAACUAUGCCUGGUCAGGACGAAGUCAGGGGAAACCCUGAUGGAGGUCCGUAGCGAUUCUGACGUGCAAAUCGAUCGUCGGAACUGGGUAUAGGGGCGAAAGACUAAUCGAACCAUCUAGUAGCUGGUUCCCUCCGAAGUUUCCCUCAGGAUAGCUGGCACUCGCUUGAGCGAGUCUCAUCUGGUAAAGCGAAUGAUUAGAGGCCUUGGGGCCGAAACGACCUCAACCUAUUCUCAAACUUUAAAUGGGUGAGAUCUCUGGCUUGCUUGAACGUUGAAGCCACGAGAUGCAAUUUAUUGCAAUGGAUCAGAGUGCCAAGUGGGCCAAUUUUGGUAAGCAGAACUGGCGCUGUGGG